GCGCCCAUGGCUCAAUUGGAUAGAGCGUCAGACUACGGAUCUGGAGGUUGAGAGUUCGAAUCUUUCUGGGCGCGCCA
Molecule: transfer RNA, 77 nt
Filed under: Holosporales bacterium
Lineage: Bacteria; Pseudomonadati; Pseudomonadota; Alphaproteobacteria; Holosporales
Description: tRNA-Arg
Rfam family: tRNA
About the family: Transfer RNA (tRNA) molecules are approximately 80 nucleotides in length. Their secondary structure includes four short double-helical elements and three loops (D, anti-codon, and T loops).
Source: RNAcentral